GAUGAACGCUAGCGGCAGGCCUAACACAUGCAAGUCGAGGGAGGAGCCUUCGGGCUUCGACCGGCGUACGGGUGCGUAACGCGUAUACAAUCUGCCUUUCACAUAGGGAUAGCUCGAAGAAAUUUGGAUUAAUACCUAAUGGUAUAUAGAUGUGGCAUCACCUUUAUAUUAAAGCUGAGGCGGUGAAAGAUGAGUAUGCGUUCUAUUAGCUAGUUGGAGAGGUAACGGCUCCCCAAGGCGACGAUAGAUAGGGGUUCUGAGAGGGAUAUCCCCCACACUGGUACUGAGAUACGGACCAGACUCCUACGGGAGGCAGCAGUGAGGAAUAUUGGACAAUGGUCGGAAGACUGAUCCAGCCAUGCCGCGUGCAGGAAGACGGCCUUAUGGGUUGUAAACUGCUUUUGCAGGGGAAGAAUAAGGACUACGCGUAGUUUGAUGACGGUACUCUGCGAAUAAGCAUCGGCUAACUCCGUG
Molecule: ribosomal RNA, 474 nt
Filed under: uncultured bacterium
Lineage: Bacteria
Description: partial 16S ribosomal RNA
Rfam family: Bacterial small subunit ribosomal RNA
Source: RNAcentral